UCCACUUCUCGGAUCUCUGAGCUAAGAUCAUUGUAGUAUCUGUUCUUCACAGUGUAAAUUCUACAACGGUCUCUAAAUUGAGACCAACGAAAUUACCUGUAUUUUUCCCUACCUGACGGGUGCUAUGAGCUCGCUCAACCCCGUCCACGGGUUGGCCUCGUAUUGCAGUACCUCGAGGAUUUGUCCAUAAUUA
This 193-nucleotide small nuclear RNA is filed under the name Schistocephalus solidus. RNAcentral describes it as "U2 spliceosomal RNA". It matches the Rfam family "U2 spliceosomal RNA". Rfam says of the family: U2 is a small nuclear RNA (snRNA) component of the spliceosome (involved in pre-mRNA splicing). The record is from Rfam by way of RNAcentral. Lineage: Eukaryota; Metazoa; Platyhelminthes; Cestoda; Diphyllobothriidea; Diphyllobothriidae.